UACAGAGGGCGCAAGCGUUGUUCGGAAUUACUGGGCGUAAAGCGCGUGUAGGUGGCGAUGUAAGUCGGGUGUGAAAUCCCUCAGCUUAACUGAGGAAGUGCACUCGAUACUGUGUCGCUUGAGUGUUGGAGGGGAUGGCGGAAUUCCCGGUGUAGAGGUGAAAUUCGUAGAUAUCGGGAGGAACACCUGUGGCGAAGGCGGCCAUCUGGACAACUACUGACACUGAGACGCGAAAGCGUGGGUAGCAAACAGG
RNAcentral lists this ribosomal RNA (253 nucleotides) under uncultured bacterium. Its description in RNAcentral is "partial 16S ribosomal RNA". It matches the Rfam family "Bacterial small subunit ribosomal RNA", at positions 524 to 776 of the family's 1533-position model. The record is from RNAcentral.